RNAcentral lists this ribosomal RNA (500 nucleotides) under uncultured bacterium. RNAcentral describes it as "partial 16S ribosomal RNA". It matches the Rfam family "Bacterial small subunit ribosomal RNA", at positions 30 to 523 of the family's 1533-position model. The record is from RNAcentral.
AUUGAACGCUGGCGGAAUGCUUUACACAUGCAAGUCGAACGGCAGCACGGACUUCGGUCUGGUGGCGAGUGGCGAACGGGUGAGUAAUAUAUCGGAACGUGCCCAGUCGUGGGGGAUAACGUAGUGAAAAUUACGCUAAUACCGCAUACGAUCUAAGGAUGAAAGCGGGGGAUCGCAAGACCUCACGCGAUUGGAGCGGCCGAUAUCAGAUUAGGCAGUUGGUAGGGUAAAGGCCUACCAAGCCAACGAACUGUAGCUGGUCUGAGAGGACGACCAGCCACACUGGAACUGAGACACGGUCCAGACUCCUACGGGAGGCAGCAGUGGGGAAUUUUGGACAAUGGGCGAAAGCCUGAUCCAGCCAUUCCGCGUGCAGGAUGAAGGCCCUCGGGUUGUAAACUGCUUUUGUACAGAACGAAAAGGUCUCUACUAAUACUAGGGCCUCAUGACGGUACUGUAAGAAUAAGCACCGGCUAACUACGUGCCAGCAGCCGCCGCAG